UGGGAUGUAGUUCAGUGGUGGAACAUUUGGCCUAGCAACCAUAAGGCCCUGGGUUCCAUACUCAGCACCAA
This 71-nucleotide transfer RNA is filed under the name Neotoma lepida (desert woodrat). It matches the Rfam family "tRNA". From Rfam's summary of the family: Transfer RNA (tRNA) molecules are approximately 80 nucleotides in length. Their secondary structure includes four short double-helical elements and three loops (D, anti-codon, and T loops). Further hydrogen bonds mediate the characteristic L-shaped molecular structure. tRNAs have two regions of fundamental functional importance: the anti-codon, which is responsible for specific mRNA codon recognition, and the 3' end, to which the tRNAs corresponding amino acid is attached (by aminoacyl-tRNA synthetases). tRNAs cope with the degeneracy of the genetic code in two manners: having more than one tRNA (with a specific anti-codon) for a particular amino acid; and 'wobble' base-pairing, i.e. permitting non-standard base-pairing at the 3rd anti-codon position. Lineage: Eukaryota; Metazoa; Chordata; Mammalia; Rodentia; Cricetidae. The record is from Rfam by way of RNAcentral.